RNAcentral lists this ribosomal RNA (492 nucleotides) under uncultured bacterium. RNAcentral describes it as "partial 16S ribosomal RNA". It matches the Rfam family "Bacterial small subunit ribosomal RNA", at positions 29 to 507 of the family's 1533-position model. The record is from RNAcentral.
AGUGAACGCUGGCGGUAGGCCUAACACAUGCAAGUCGAACGGCAGCACAGUAAGAGCUUGCUCUUACGAGUGGCGAGUGGCGGACGGGUGAGGAAUACAUCGGAAUCUACUUUUUCGUGGGGGAUGACGUAGGGAAACUUACGCUAAUACCGCAUACGACCUACGGGUGAAAGCAGGGGAUCUUCGGACCUUGCGCGAUUGAAUGAGCCGAUGUCGGAUUAGCUAGUUGGCGGGGUAAAGGCCCACCAAGGCGACGAUCCGUAGCUGGUCUGAGAGGAUGAUCAGCCACACUGGAACUGAGACACGGUCCAGACUCCUACGGGAGGCAGCAGUGGGGAAUAUUGGACAAUGGGCGCAAGCCUGAUCCAGCCAUACCGCGUGGGUGAAGAAGGCCUUCGGGUUGUAAAGCCCUUUUGUUGGGAAAGAAAAGCAGCAGGUUAAUACCCCGCUGUUCUGACGGUACCCAAAGAAUAAGCACCGGCUAACUUCGUG